RNAcentral lists this ribosomal RNA (495 nucleotides) under uncultured bacterium. RNAcentral's name for it is "partial 16S ribosomal RNA". It matches the Rfam family "Bacterial small subunit ribosomal RNA", at positions 28 to 507 of the family's 1533-position model. The record is from RNAcentral.
GACGAACGCUGGCGGCGUGCCUAAUACAUGCAAGUAGAACGCUGAAGGAGGAGCUUGCUUCUCUGGAUGAGUUGCGAACGGGUGAGUAACGCGUAGGUAACCUACCUGGUAGCGGGGGAUAACUAUUGGAAACGAUAGCUAAUACCGCAUAAGAGUAGAUGUCGCAUGACAUUUGCUUAAAAGGUGCAAUUGCAUCACUACCAGAUGGACCUGCGUUGUAUUAGCUAGUUGGUGAGGUAACGGCUCACCAAGGCAACGAUACAUAGCCGACCUGAGAGGGUGAUCGGCCACACUGGGACUGAGACACGGCCCAGACUCCUACGGGAGGCAGCAGUAGGGAAUCUUCGGCAAUGGCCGGAAGUCUGACCGAGCAACGCCGCGUGAGUGAAGAAGGUUUUCGGAUCGUAAAGCUCUGUUGUAAGAGAAGAACGAGUGUGAGAGUGGAAAGUUCACACUGUGACGGUAGCUUACCAGAAAGGGACGGCUAACUACGUG